This 3987-nucleotide long non-coding RNA is filed under the name Triticum aestivum (bread wheat). Its description in RNAcentral is "long non-coding RNA (TAES_LNC010805)". Lineage: Eukaryota; Viridiplantae; Streptophyta; Magnoliopsida; Poales; Poaceae. The record is from RNAcentral.
GCAUAGUGGGUAAUUUGUAUCAACUUCAGGGGUAAUUCUAAUGACGUACGACCAGAAGCACUAUUUGCUUUAUUAGUAGGGGAAGAUAAUAGGCGUUACCUUAUGUUCUACAUCGCACAUCUCUUGGUGUCCCAGUCCGUCUGCGUCAACCUGACGGGUCCAAUGCAGUGGUUUGUGUUUGCCGUACCUGUGGUCUCCUACCUGGUCGCCGCCGCCACUUUCGCGCUCCUGGAGGGAAUUGAAGUCAGGCGUCCCUGGCUCAGGUUCCUGCACAUCUUCGCUUGGACUGUGCUUAUCUCUUGGCUUAUCGCAUGCUACUGAGAGGAGUUUAUAUAUGCAGUAUCUUGUAUCACUUACUGUACUAUCUCUUGGGGACCAUCGAGGCUAAGUAUUCAUGUAGAGACUAUUCAUGUAGAGGCUAUAUAUCUAGUGUUUUGCUAUUUUACAGUGAUUUACAAUUGGGCUUCAUUCAAUUUUGAUUCUGCUGGCCCUUGUGAUGUGGAUGCAGGCGCUAAUGGUCAAUCCUUGGUCUGAAUUUGUGUUCUGAGUUCCUUAAUCAGUAGUGUAGUGAGAAGGGAUUGCAUCCAUUUAUAGGAACCGUUUCUAUUUUCUUGUCAAUGUUGGGGAUUGUUAUAGCUGGGCCCUUGAUUUAUUGUUUGACUAAGGCAAUUACAUCAUCCUCACAAUACUUGGGUUUUAUGAGACUAAAUUUUGAGUUCAUGUCCCUAGCCUGAAAUGCUUUUCCUGCUAGUGUGUACUCUGAGAACAGAGUGACACUCUGUUGGCAUGCUGCGCGAGACCCACCCAGGUUCAAUUCUCGGGCUCGGUGGGUGCUCAGGUUGUUUCUGCCAUAAAAACAACCAUUUCUAGUUUUUUUGUCGAUGUUGGGGAUUGCUAUUGCUAUGCCCUUGAUUUACUGUUUGACUAGUAGGUAAUUACACCAUCCUCUAACUGUAAUUUCAGGGGUUCUAUGGACUGUAAAUUUUCAGUUCCAUGUCCGUAGCCUGAAAUGUAUUUUGUACAGCAUCCUCUGUUGGCAAGCUGUGUGGGUGUGCAUGCUACCCACCCAGGUUUCUUCCUAUAAAAAUAUGCCACCAAGGGCUAGUCCUGGUCGGUCUCUUUUUUUCUGCCAGUGUGUAUUUAUUGAUAACUGGAAUUUUUCUUGCAGUUUAAUUCUAGUGUUAUUAGAGUGUAAUUUACAUAGUAGUUGCACUGUAAGUGGUAGUGGAAUUGUUAACACUAUAAAACUUCAGUAGAGCAGUUAACUAUAGUAUUUUCUUCAACUGUUAAUGUGAACUUAUAGUUUAAUUUUAUUGUAAUUUUACUGGAAUUUCAGUGUAAACCAUAAUACUUCUGUUUGUCUUGUUGGGUUGCCAGCUCUUUUGUUACAACCUGGGGAUUGUCUUUCUUGUGGUUUGUUAUUGAUAGUUAGAAGGCAUGGCGUCCAUUUAUAAAAACUGUUUCUAUCUUUUUGGUCUAUGUUGGGGAUUGUUAUUGCUGUGCCCCCGAUUUGUAAAUUUUCAGUUCAUGUCCCUUGCCUGAAAUGCUUCUUUCUGUCAGUGUGCAUGUGAUCUUCACAACUACUCCCUCCGAUUCCUAAAUAUAAGUCCUUUUAGACAUUUCAAAUGGACUACAACAUACGGAUGUAUGUAGACAUAUUUUAGAGUGUAGAUUCACUCAUUUUGCUCCGUAUGUAGUCAUUUGUUGCAAUCUCUAAAAGGACUAAUAUCUGGGAACGGAGGGAUUACCAAACUGUCCGGUUUAUGUUUAUGUAGGAGUACUUUAUAUCCAGUGUGCUUUUUUCUUCCACUGUGCAUGGUGGUUCAUGCAAUUAAAAACUGUGCAUUAUAACAUCACAUCUGUUGUGUAAUCGUAGACACUGGUUCCAUUGUUUAGUCAGAGUACUGUUCAUUGCUGCUGCUGUAGAGGUGUCCGUUGCAGCCUGUAUGCUGUGCUAGCCGUGUUGUUGCGGCUGCUGUCUGUCAGUUCCACAGUGCUCUUUUCUUAGCAUUUUCCUAUGGCUGAACAACUACCCUUCCUUAAUUUGAAUGUUAUGGGAUAUUGAAUGAAUGAGCUGGUGAGUCGCACCUCUGUUCGUGAAUUAGUCAAUAGUUUGUUUGCAGGAAUCCUAAUUGGUCAGCUUCUCUGACGCUUUGCGCCAGGAAGUGGCUGGGUCUGGAUUUGAUCAGUAUGUGGCGCUGGAUGCCGAGGGCACCAACGCAGGCAUGCUCCUCUUUUGGCACACGGAUCCCUGACUUCCAGAAGUUCUCAAUUUUGUCAAGGUUCUCACCUAUGUAGCCCUAUGGUGCCGGCAUCUUACUAGUGUGUCGAGCAACAGAAAGCCUCGUUCCUUGGUGAACUGGUAAAACUGCACAACUCCAUUGCCGGACCCUAGAGCGAUUUUUGAAUUUGAUCAAAGGUAAGGAAAAAACAAAUCAACUCUGAACCGCCGCUGGAUGGAACGUGCCGGGAGUACAUCUCCGAUUUCAAAAAGUGGUCAUCACCCUCAAACUUUGGAGCAAGAACCAUGCGGGUGACGUGCAGCGGCAACUCCGGACCAAGAUCCAGGGGCUGGCCUCCAGUCACGCCGUAACUGGCGGGAGGCCAGCCGUUGGAUGGAGGAUGUGCAGCCCAGAGCAAGCACUGUAGCAAAAUCACUGCAGACGGUACUGUAUGCCAAUCACUGUAGCUUGGUGACUGUAGCUCGGAUACAGUUCACGAAGAUCCAUCCGUCGAUCUUUGAUCCAACAGUUUGGAGAGAGGGGCCAGGCACCGUACUGUUCACCGGUGAUUUGUCCACAUCAAGUCACCGGAUCUCAGUCUGGCAACUCCAUAUUGUCAAUGAGAUUAUUCUUCAGCUUUGUUUUGUGGCGAUUACUAGCUAAAGAAUAAGCUGAAAUUUAUUCUUCAGCUAGACACUGCCCAAGAUUUCCUGCCUCUCCUGGCGGAGGAAAGUGUACUGCACUCCAACCGAACCUGGCCAUAUGGGUUGUGCAUAGAGCAAUUCUAGCAGACCCCGCAUUUUGCCGACCCGUAAAAUGUGUUUGCAGAUCGCACGGGGGCGGUUAUGUAGGCCGAAAUUUGCGGCGGCAGACUAGAAACUGCAAACAAACCCCUAAAUUUUUAAAAAAGUUGUUUUGCGCGAGAAAUUUAAGCAACAGCUUGCCGGAGCUCGCUCGCAUACAUGGUUCUUCUUCGCAUAAUAAGUUCAUACACGCCAUAUACAUACAUAGAUACUUGUUGCUUAAAUUUGGAACGGCACGACACGUGGAUACAUGGAUUGGGAUGGACGAUCCUUCCAUUGCAAAAAAAAAUCGAUCUAGCUGGCCAAAUCAAAUCAAUAAAUUGAAGAGAAAUACAAAAUUAUGAUAAUCAUGCAUAAAAUAGUUCAGAAAAACUCAAAUAAUAUUCACAGAUAAUUUGAUCAUAAAACUUACAAUUCAUUAGAUCCCAACAAACACACCGUAAAAAACUGAUUACAUCGAAUAGAACUCCAAGAAUAUUGAGGAGAAUAUUGUAUUGAAGAUCAAAGAGAGAGAAGAAGUCAUCUAGCUAAUAACUAUGGACCCAUGAGUCUGUGGUAAACUGCUCACACAUCAUUGGAAGGGUAGCAAGGUUGAUUUAGAGCCACUAUGUGAUUGAUUCCCUCUCCGGCAGAGUGCCAGAAAAGGCCUCCAGAUGGGAUCUCUCGGGAACAGGAGCUUACGGCGGCAGAAUUUUUUUUGGUGGCUCUUUGUUGGUUUCUCGAUUUUAGAGAAUUUAUAAAGGUGGAAUUAGGUCCAACGGGUGAACGUGGGCCUCAUGAGCCACCAGUGCGCGCCUACCCCCUGGGCGCGCCCUGGUGCCUCAUGGCUCCACCUUCAUCUUCUGGCCCUCUCCCGAAGCUUACGUGGUCUCUUUUGUCCAGAAAAAAAUCCCAAAAAGUUUCGUUGCAUUUGGAUUUCGUUUGGUACUCAUAUUUUGGAAACCCAAAAACAGGAAAAAAAA